UGAUUUAUUUUGUUCUUUUAGGGUGAAAAACUUUAUACAAAGACUUUGCCUUAUCCCUGCGCAUCAAAGGAAGUUUUUGAACAGAGUAUUCGGAUGCCAAUUGGACCUGAAUUUAAUCCUGUGACAGCAGUUGGAGCUCUUAAUCAUCCUGAGGUGGUAAAGAGAGCUGGUGUGAGCAUCAAACCUAUCCAAUUUCAGGAUGUUAAUCCCCAUGAAAAAGUGGAAAACCGUAAGCGCAAGGGACAAAAACCAAGCAAUGGUAAAGAUAAGAGUUGAUAUAC
Molecule: long non-coding RNA, 281 nt
Organism: Olea europaea var. sylvestris
Lineage: Eukaryota; Viridiplantae; Streptophyta; Magnoliopsida; Lamiales; Oleaceae
Exons: 2
Source: RefSeq, a predicted model, not a curated record